This 119-nucleotide ribosomal RNA is filed under the name Anolis carolinensis (green anole). The record is from RNAcentral. Lineage: Eukaryota; Metazoa; Chordata; Lepidosauria; Squamata; Anolidae.
AUUUUUAAUCUCGGUGCUUUAAAGACUCCAGAUCUCAACUGAUCUUGGAAGCCAAUCAAUGUCGAUCCUGGUUAGUACUUGAAUGAGACACCACCAAUGAAUACCAGGUGUUAAAGGCU